This 70-nucleotide transfer RNA is filed under the name Anaxarcha zhengi. RNAcentral's name for it is "tRNA-Thr". It matches the Rfam family "tRNA". Rfam says of the family: Transfer RNA (tRNA) molecules are approximately 80 nucleotides in length. Their secondary structure includes four short double-helical elements and three loops (D, anti-codon, and T loops). The record is from RNAcentral. Lineage: Eukaryota; Metazoa; Arthropoda; Insecta; Mantodea; Hymenopodidae.
GUUUUAAUAGUUAAAAUAAAACAUUGGUCUUGUAAACCAAAGAUAUUAGUAACUAUAACUCUUUAAAACU